UGGACACUCUUGAGGCAGUCGGAUG
Molecule: non-coding RNA, 25 nt
Filed under: Rattus norvegicus (Norway rat)
Lineage: Eukaryota; Metazoa; Chordata; Mammalia; Rodentia; Muridae
Source: RNAcentral